Molecule: long non-coding RNA, 515 nt
Filed under: Setaria viridis
Lineage: Eukaryota; Viridiplantae; Streptophyta; Magnoliopsida; Poales; Poaceae
Description: long non-coding RNA (SVIR_LNC008821)
Source: RNAcentral
GUGAAUGAUGUAUUAUGUAACAUGUAGUUAGAUUCAGCGCUACUUGUAUUUAAUGUUUUCCUUUGUUUUUAGUUAUGAUAUUUUCCUGCUAGCACCUCUAAUGUAGCCGCCACCUAAACUACCAAUGACUAGCAUAGAUAUUAGCAUAGUAGUUCCUAGUCACAUCAUCACCGUCUCCAUCGAGUGCUACUAAUAGGGAUGAAAACAGAAGGAAAUGGACGGGAAAAUCCCUUACCCAUUUCUGUGUCCCAAUUUUAUCACCGGAAACAGAAUGGUUGGGAACGGUACCGAGAUAUUUAAGUAUCCUGGAACGGAAUAAUACGAAUGGAAAUAAAAUAAAAACCGGCGGGGACUUUAAACUUAAAUCAGGAUCGUACAUUCAAUCAAGUCCCAAACACUAGUUAACCAACAAAGUCUAGCACGACAUGACUAGCAUAGAUAUCAGCACACAGUAGUUCCUAGCCACAUCAUCAUCCGUCUCUAUCACACGAUCUAUGACAUCUCCUAACCAUACC